ACAAAAGCAAGAAAACCAGGUAGGUACGAUGAUGGGGGUGUGCGGCCUUUUUACCAUACAUCUGUCCCAGAUAUCUUUUCUCAAAUCGGGAGACUGAGUGGGAAGAAAAGAGAAGUAUGGUUUACAGAUCAAGAAUUUAAUCACAUUCAUACUUACAUCCUCCGGAACUGUGACGAUGUCAUACCAUUCGAGAAGAUCUUUGAUGAUCAAGUGUCUGGAGCGUAUCCAAACAUGACAGAGGCUCGAAAAGAGGAAAUGAAGCAGACACAAUAUGCUAAUUGGUUAAAAUAUUAUAUCAAAUCAGCCGCAAGUAGGCAGGAACACUAUCCAACAUGGUUUGAAGAGUUGGUUGGAGGUCCUCUAUCAAGGGCAAUGGCAUACCCGAUGUAUUGCACUCGAGGCUACGUUUUCAUAAAACGUCCAGGGAUUACUAACAGAAAAACAGUGAAUUAUGGGGUCGUUGUUCGUACAGAUUCGAUAGACUACUAUGGUGAAAUUACUGAUAUAUUAGA
Molecule: long non-coding RNA, 512 nt
Organism: Arabidopsis lyrata subsp. lyrata
Lineage: Eukaryota; Viridiplantae; Streptophyta; Magnoliopsida; Brassicales; Brassicaceae
Exons: 3
Source: RefSeq, a predicted model, not a curated record